This 407-nucleotide ribosomal RNA is filed under the name uncultured bacterium. RNAcentral's name for it is "partial 16S ribosomal RNA". It matches the Rfam family "Bacterial small subunit ribosomal RNA", at positions 30 to 526 of the family's 1533-position model. The record is from RNAcentral.
AUUGAACGCUAGCGGGAUGCUUUACACAUGCAAGUCGAACGGAGUGGCGGACGGGUGAGUAAUAUAUCGGAACGUGCCCAUUAGCGGGGGGUAACUACUCGAAAAAGUGGCUAAUACCGCAUACUAUUUGAACGGCCUAUAUCGGAUUAGCUAGUUGGUGGGGUAAAGGCUCACCAAGGCAACGAUCCGUAGCUGGUUUGAGAGGAGGACCAGCAAAACGGGGACUGAGACACGGCCCAGAUCCCACCGGGAGGAAGCAGUGGGGAACUUUCGACAAUGGGGGAAACCCGGAUCAAGCAAGCCCGCGUGGAUGAGGAAGGCCUUCGGGUUGUAAAGUACUUUUGGCAGAGAAGCGGUAUCUGCAGAAUAAGCACCGGCUAACUACGUGCCAGCCGCCGCGGUAAUUC